This 465-nucleotide ribosomal RNA is filed under the name uncultured Hyphomicrobiales bacterium. RNAcentral's name for it is "bacterial SSU rRNA". It matches the Rfam family "Bacterial small subunit ribosomal RNA", at positions 108 to 608 of the family's 1533-position model. Lineage: Bacteria; Pseudomonadati; Pseudomonadota; Alphaproteobacteria; Hyphomicrobiales. The record is from RNAcentral.
GAGUAAUGUAUAGGAAUCUACUUAGUAGUACGGAAUAAUUGUUGGAAACGGCAACUAAUACCGUAUACGCCCUACGGGGGAAAAAUUUAUUGCUAUUAGAUGAGCCUAUAUUAGACUAGUUAGUUGGUGAGGUAAAGGCUUACCAAGACAAUGAUCUAUAGCUGAUCUGAGAGGAUGAUCAGCCACACUGGAACUGAGAUACGGUCCAGACUCCUACGGGAGGCAGCAGUGGGGAAUAUUGGACAAUGGGCGAAAGCCUGAUCCAGCCAUGCCGCAUGAGUGAAGAAGGCCUUCGGGUUGUAAAGCUCUUUUAGUGAGGAAGAUAAUGACGGUACUCACAGAAGAAGUCCUGGCUAACUCCGUGCCAGCAGCCGCGGUAAUACGGAGAGGGCUAGCGUUAUUCGGAAUCAUUGGGCGUAAAGGGCGCGUAGGCGGGUUAGUAAGUUAAAAGUGAAAUCCCAAGGC